UGGGGAAUAUUGGACAAUAGGCGAAAGCCUGAUCCAGCCAUGCCGCGUGUGUGAAGAAGGUCUUCGGAUUGUAAAGCACUUUAAGUUGGGAGGAAGGGCAGUAAGCGAAUACCUUGCUGUUUUGACGUUACCGACAGAAUAAGCACCGGCUAACUCUGUGCCAGCAGCCGCGGUAAUACAGAGGGUGCAAGCGUUAAUCGGAAUUACUGGGCGUAAAGCGCGCGUAGGUGGUUCGUUAAGUUGAAUGUGAAAGCCCCGGGCUCAACCUGGGAACUGCAUCCAAAACUGGCGAGCUAGAGUAGGGCAGAGGGUGGUGGAAGUUCCUGUGUAGCGGUGAAAUGCGUAGAUAUAGGAAGGAACACCAGUGGCGAAGGCGACCACCUGGGCUCAUACUGACACUGAGGUGCGAAAGCGUGGGGAGCAAACAGG
RNAcentral lists this ribosomal RNA (429 nucleotides) under Pseudomonadota bacterium. RNAcentral's name for it is "Proteobacteria bacterium partial 16S ribosomal RNA". It matches the Rfam family "Bacterial small subunit ribosomal RNA", at positions 355 to 776 of the family's 1533-position model. Lineage: Bacteria; Pseudomonadati; Pseudomonadota. The record is from RNAcentral.